RNAcentral lists this long non-coding RNA (1157 nucleotides) under Equus caballus (horse). RNAcentral describes it as "lncRNA (ENSECAG00000053438.1)". The record is from RNAcentral. Lineage: Eukaryota; Metazoa; Chordata; Mammalia; Perissodactyla; Equidae.
AAUGUGAAUAUAAGACUCCUUAAAUGGGAAAGAAGGAGGCAGAAGAAUCAGAAGCAGAGAGAGGGCAUUGUGAGGAAAAACUCAACUGGCCAUUGCUGGCUUUGCAGUUGGAAGGGGCCCAAUAGCUAGUGACUAGGUCAGCCUCUGGGACUGAAAAGGCAAGGAAAUAGAUUCCUCCCCUAGAGCCUCCAAAAGGAACACAGUCCUGCUGUCAUCUUGAUUUUAGCCCAUUGAGAUGCCUUUUCAACUUCUGACCUCCAGCACGGGUCCUCAAGAUAUUCUGAGUUUCCUUCAUCUGCCAGGAAAUGACCUCCUUUAAUCAUUUGACAAGGCUGCCAGGAAUUCUAUAAGCAAGCCAGCCUUUGGACACCCUAGAAAUAUUGAUUGAAUCUGCCCAAUUUGACUUUUAUAAUAAAUGGAACAAGCUGGAACUGAACAAUGUUGAUUACAAAAUCUUUUCAUUCUUUGUGAUGAAAGGAACAUGAGCAUCCUCUAGACGUUGGAAAUGGCAAGGAAAUUGGUCCUCUCCUAGAGCCUCCAGAAGGAAUGCAGCCAUGCGGAUACCAUGAUUUCAGCCCAGUGAGUCCCACUCCAGACUUCUCACCUAUAGAACUGCAAGGCCAGCUCGGUGGUGCAGCGGUUAAAUUCACACAUUCCGCUUCUCUGCUCGGGGUCCCAGGGUUCACCAGUUCGGAUGCGGACAUGGCACCGCUUGGCACGCCAUUCUGUGCCAUAGGCUUCAGCAGUAAUGCCAUCAGGUCAAGCAGUGACCUAGUGGACAAGAGGCACCAUGAAACAGCCCAACAAGGCUUUGAAAACAACCCUGGGACUUUCAUGCAGAUCUGAAACCUUCGCUACUGCUCCCCACCACUCCCCACCAACCCAGACUGCCCUAAAGGCCAAGUGGUCAAUUUGGGAAGGAGAAGGGGUAAGGAUGGAAUCUGAAAAACUGAGCAUUUACUUGAGAAGAGCUCUGGUCUACAAAAAGAGACUUACAGCAACUGUUAGAAUUUUACAAAAUACACCCUGAGAAGGUUAAAAAAAAAACCAAAACAUAUAUUGUAACUGUGAGAAAUGAGUUCAAACAUGAAAUCUGAUAGAUCGUGAAAUUACAAUGUAAGUUGUGAAACACUAAUUUUCCCUCUGAGACUAAAAUG